Long non-coding RNA from Dermochelys coriacea (leatherback sea turtle), 6137 nucleotides. RefSeq lists it as uncharacterized. The transcript is spliced from 11 exons. Lineage: Eukaryota; Metazoa; Chordata; Testudines; Dermochelyidae. The record is from RefSeq and is a predicted model, not a curated record.
UUGCUUGCACCAACCUAGUUGUGCAUAUGUCCACACUUAAAUUUGUCGCCCACCAGUGUAAGAUCUUCAUUACUCCAACAUAGUAACACCUUCUGCCCAAGCGUUGUUGAGCCACAGUCGGUGUAUUGAGGUUGGCACAGUGCAAAUGUAGACACUGCAUUGGCUAUGUUGACCCUAACAGUCUUUCAGCAGCUGUCCUGCAAUGCCCAGCACUGACAGUUCUGGUCUUGAUUGUGAACUCCAUUGCCUGGGGCUCACAGAGACUGGAAGCCAUACCCCUCCUUUAAAACCCUGUGAAUUUUUGAUAUGCUGUUUCCUGAUUGUCCAUUGUGGCGAGCACUCCUAGCAGCUCUCCACUGUUGUGUGCAACUGCCCAGCUGACAAUGCUGGCUACAUGCUCCAGGUGUAUUCUGGCCUGGAGUAGACAGGAGUUUUUGGAUCUCCUGGGCCUGUGGGGAAAAGAAGUUGUAUAGGCACAGCUAUGGACCAACCAUAGAAAUAUGACCAUCUAUGAGCAGAUUGCCCGGGGGAUGCAGAAGAAGGAUUACAAUGUGGACCAGCAGCAGUGCUGUGUGAAAGCAAAGGAACUGCAGCCGGCAUAUCAGAAGGCCAGGGAGGCCAACAGUUGAUCUAGUGCUGAGCUGCAGCCCUUCCACUUUUACAAAGAGUUGCAUGCCAGGCUUGGUGGAGACCUUCCCCCACCGCUACCCCACACAGACCUCUGUGGAUACCUCUGAAGAGCCUGAGUCACUGGGCCUUGGUGUGAACAGCAAGGAUGAGAGGGAGGAGGUGAAGGAGGAAUAGGAGAAGGAUGAGGGACAUGUGACAGAGGGGGUCUAGCUAGCCAGGACCUGUUUGAGACUCCAACACAGUCCAGUCAAUCCCAGCAGUUGAGCACCACAAAACUGAUUGAGGGGAAGGAACCUCAGCUGCUGCUGUCGUAGUCUUGAGGAGUUCCCCCUCCACACCCACAGAAUGCCUGAGCUAGAUAAGGAUGAAAAAGAAGAAGCUCAGAAUGACAUGUUCAGUCAGAUCCUGCAAGGCAGUGCUGCAUUAGACCAUGAAUAGAGGGCCUGAAGAAUGGCUGUAUAGAGAAGGAAAAAGCAGCAGACAGGAGAAAGGACCAAGAAUCCCAGCAGAAAAAGGAGAGAGAGGGACAUAAUGGCGCUCCUUUGCCAGCAAACCUACAGAUUCAACAAUCCUGGGCUCCUCUCCCUCUGCAUUCCAUGGAGAAUUCCAUUACAGCAGCUCCCUACACACACAUACACCAACUGUGGUUCUCAUAGAAAUUGCGACACAGCAUGAUGCAGUGGGAAGCCAUAACGAGUGGAAUAUCUUUGUCACUGAGAUCCAGUCUUGCAGAGGAAAGCUGAAAGUCUGUCCUCCACAGCACCUCAAAACCUGAAUUCACCUCAUCUUCUUCCCCAUGCUUACAUCUGCCUCAGGCACAUAGCGCUAUUCAGUCCCAGAUAUGCCAGCCUCUAUUGGCAUAACCUAGGGCUGCCGGAUGCCUAGGGCAUGGAGAAUGGAUGAGUCACAGUGUUGCAAAAAACGCACCAAAUUCCCGCUCUGUGGGGACCUGGAGCUGGCUGGAGUCAGUGUUUUACAAGAGUGAGAGAGACCUUGAAACAACUGAUUUCCUUUAGCUUCCACCAUUGACUCUUAUGGAGCCCUGACUAAAUUAAAGUUAACACCCCAUUGUGGAACUUUAUUUCCACCUAAUUGUGGAACCCACAGGGGAUGCAGGCAGUGCAAACAUCUCUCUCCUUCACUCCCACCUGCUGGGGGUUCAUCUUCCCUCAGACAUAACUGCCCUUGUUGGAAAACAGGGCUGCAGUUUGUACCACCUGUACUGAAGGAAGGGAGAAGGUAUAGGCAGGCUCUGAAUUUAUCUCAUGGAAUAUAGCUAUACCUACAUAACAAUAUUGGUAUAGCUACUAAAACUUUCCUCAGUAGACAAGGGAUUCAGCAAAACACUUAUACAUGUACUUUUAAUGGGAAUGCUCAUAUGCUUAAAUGCUUAAGUGGCUGUAUACUGAUAGAGACCUACUCACAUGCCUAGAGCUAAGCAAGUGCUAAAGUGCUGUGCUGAACCCAGGCCUGAAAAAAGUGUGAAUUGCCCUAUUCAUCUCAAGGGAACUUAAACUCUGAAGCCUAGUAAUCUAAUGAUGACAAUUUUCAUGUCAAUGUUGACAAUUAUUGCACUGUUGAUGAUCUUAACAGGAACAUCUUGUCAAUAACUGCAUAUUCUGUUCACUUGAAAGACAUAAAUAACAAGAGUGUACACAGAAUACGUUAUCAGACCAAAUACUAUAACCUCUUUGUACUAAAAGGAAAAACGUUCCUCACAAACACAGAAAUACAUUAGUUUAUUAAGGUUAAUAUCUGUCUUCUCUGCUGCUACGUCAUGUUGUAUAGAAAGCUACACUAUGCAACAUGCCAUGCACCAUGAGAGUCCAGUAUUGUUUAGCUCAUGUGCUGGCACUAUAUACAACAGUUUUACCCUUACUUUUAAGGACAGUAAGAAGCGUCUCAAAUAUUUAUAUAAGCCACCGAAUUCUGACACUUUGUUUAUUCAAAAUGUACAGCUUUAUUCCUAUAGACCAUCCUUUCAAGUGAAUCGCAUGUCAGAAUGUGACAGCUAUGUACAUAUACUAGAUAUGCGCAUGAUGUUUGUGGAAUGCUGGUCAGAAGUGAAAAGGCUAAUAACCUGGAUGACUCUUAAAUGACUGUAACUAGGCUUUAAAGUUAAAAGUCCAAUCAGAUAAAAAGUGGGCUGGUCACAUUACUCUUGAUGCUAUUGUUCACUAUCUCUCAGACUCAAAAGCCUUGUUACACUAGAAAAUUGCACCAUUCAAACUUGCACCUGUUUCCAGUCUUCCAACUCCACAAACAGCCUGUUUGUGCUCUCCUUAGUUGCCACUUUCUCAUGCCAAAAUGCCCUUGCCAAAAUGCACACCACAUCAUUUCAUGCCCUGUAUCAACUUCCUGUCUCAAAUUAAGAACAGAAAUAGGUUACAUUAAUGUCAGCAUUUGGCACAGAUCAUUGCUCAAAGUAUCAUCUAUAUGUGGCAUAGGGUUGCCAACUUUCUAACCGAACAAAACCGAACAGCCUUGCCCCGCCCCUUCUCUGAGGCCCUGCCCUGUUCAUUCCAUCCCUCCUCCCCCUCCAUUGCUUACUCUCCCACACCCUCACUCGGUCACCCAUUUUCAACGGGCUGGGGAGUGUUCCUUUUUGACCGGGUGUUCCGGCUGAAACCCGGUCAGACACCCCCGGGAGAGAACAGAAAUUGUCAGAUCUUUUAUAAAAGCUUGUUGUGUUCUGAACUUGAUGAUCAUUAUGAUAUACGCAUAGAGACCAGGAGUAAGAAUUUAUGUAUUUGUGUAUAUAGAACACUGUGUUCAUAAACUUCAGCUCCACCUUGCAGCAGGGCAGUGAGCAGGCAGGCGGGGUCGGGUAUCUCCCAAGCCAGUUGUUUACACAAAACCAGCUUCAAGUAACUAUGCAGUGUCCAGUCCAGGAAAAGAUAAGGUUGGACUAUUAAAAUUAAUGGAAAGACAUUGAGACAUUUCAAAAGUGAAAAGAACAUUUCCCCAUCUCAGAAGUCAGGAGAUAAUUCCCCCACUCUGAUUAACCAUGAGUCAUCAUGGACCGGCAGAAAAAUAAAAGGAAAAAGACUUUUAAAAGAAGACUUCACAAAAAGAAAAGGAGUACUUGUGGCACCUUAGAGACUAAAAAAUUUAUUUGAGCAUAAGCUUUCGUGAGCUACAGCUCAAAGACUUGGAACUGAGGUUUUUAUUCAGAACUGGAGGGACAAUCUUGAGACAGGAAGCUAUCUGUGAAUGCUGGAUCCCUCCUAUAGCUAGGAAGUAAACUGAGAAAUUGUUUUAAGACAAUAGGCAACCUGUAUUAGAAAAGGGAUUUUAUCGAAGGCCUGGUCUAGCUCAACCCAGCUGUAUGUCUCAGGGGUGUGAAAAAUCCACACUCCUGAGCAACAUAGUUAAGCCAACGUGAACCCUGGUGUAGACAGAAUAAUUCUCCCAUUGGCCUAGCUACCAGCUCUCGGGGAGGUGGAGUACCCACGCUAUGGGAGAACCCCUCCUAUUGGUGAGGUAGCGUCUACACUGAAGCACUACAGCGGUGCAGCUGCAACACUGCAGCAGUGCCUCUGUAGCAUUUCCAAUGCAGACAAGCCCUAAUAUGAAAGUGUAAAGCCUGAGGUUGUCUCUGUAUGUUUAGUUUCUGUGUAACUCGUAUACAUUCACUCUCCCUUACUAUUUCAUCUUUGAAUCUGUGUUUUUUCUGUUCAGUAAACUUUUUGUUUAUUUUCAUCCCAAGCAGGUCCCUGGUGUGCAAAGUGUGUGGAUUGUGUGCUCCAAACUGAACUAUUGGUUUCCUAUCGACUGCAUCUCCCUCUAGGAUCCAGAGAUAGGAGUCUCUGGGCCUGGGUCUGGAGAGAGGGAGGACCUAAUACAAUGGGGCUUCAAGGGAUAUAUCAGUCCUUGGGAGAACUGAGGCAAUGAGUAGGUGCUGUAGCUGCAUGGAGAGGACACGAUCUGCCUCCUGAGGAACAAUUCCUCGUUGAAAAGAGUGGUCACCCAAGCAUGUCUGGCAUAGUGAAGACUCAAGUUCUGGCUCCCCUUGAGUUAAAAAGGAUCUUUUACAAACUGAGAGAAAAAUGGAAGGGGCGGACUCUGGUCCUGAACGAGUGAAGUCGAUGGGAGCUUUGUCAGGAUUGAGCCUGGAGCUGGCCUGCCUGCUGUACUGAAACAGCAGUAGGAGACGGUGACUGCUCACAAAAUGGAGAUGGGAUGCAGAAGGAAGCUACUUCAGGACAGGCUUUGCCAGUAAAAAGCUGAGAACCUAAGAGGAACAGAAGAAAUAAGGGAGGUUAUAAUAAACUCUCAGCUAAAAGCCUGAGCAAACUGUCAGGCAGUUCAUGUGUCCUGAAGGUCAACAGACUCAGGCUCUGUCAAACCAGGGGAAGAAGAGAAUUUGGGACUCAAGAGACCUCUGCUGAACAUGCCUACCCCGAGACAUUCUACUCCAAGGUCUGUAUCAGAUGCUUCCAUGUUAUGUUCACUGACACCCCAUGAGAAAUGGCUGUGAUCUGGAUGGACUACAAGCAGGAAGUAUUAAAAACCUCUUGAUAAGCUGGUUGAUGGUGUGUAAGAAGUCUAUAAAAAAAAGGGUACUUCUUGAUUCAUCAGGAGCCAAAGCAUGAAGUCCUUUCCCAAUAUCUACUCAUUCCUUACCCAGACAUUGAUGCAAAUUUGCCUGAAUAAGGACUGAGUAAGAACUUCAGCAUCUGGAUGCACAAAGCUGUAAAGAUUUCUACACAACCCUGUACCAAUUAAAUAAAAUAGGGCAAAUGGUUCAGGCAGGAAUCAGAAUCUAUCCAAAUCAACAAUGUUUAAGGAGCUAAAUGCUAUGAAUUGCUUUUCAGGAUAGGCAAUAUGGCCUACUUUAUUUUUUGCAGAAAGUUGUGUAAAUCUCUGGUACUAUGUAGGUUUAAGAACAAGUAGUAAUGACAGUUAACAAUAAUAAAUGUUUGCAUUGUGUCACAAACAUCAUAUAUGGUACUGUGGAGUUGAGUCACCUGCUUCACAGUAGCUGUCCCAGAAAAAUCCCAUAUUCUAGAAGCCCAGGUCUGGAGCAUGAAAAAUAGGAGAGGGACAACAAUUUCCCAGCAGUAGUCCAGAAGAGCUUGUCAUUGGGACACAGGCUGGAGUUUGUGUCAAUAAAACCAUACGGACACUAAUUGAAUCUCAGCUUCUCUGGGUUUACUCACAUAUAGUAAUAAGCUGCAAUUUAUUAUGACUAAAUGCCAUUAAUACCCUAUCUAAAUGAAAAAUUAUAAUUAAUUCAUUAAUAGGAACAUAGUGUGAUGGUGCACCCCAUAAGGCUUUAUGGAAAUAUGCUUAUGAAUGUAUAUAUGACAUAACUGGAAUAUGUUUUAUGCUACAUAUGCCAUGUAACAUGAUCUAUUGAAUAUAUUCAUCCUAUUUGUAUGCAUGUGUCGUUGUAUUCGAAGUCAUGAAAUUGGCUGUAUACUUGUUUGAUUUUAAAUAACCUUAGUAAGGCAUUUGGUCAGCUUCUUUAGAAAGGUUUCAGAGUAGCAGCCGUGUUAGUCUGU